Molecule: transfer RNA, 76 nt
Filed under: [Actinobacillus] rossii
Lineage: Bacteria; Pseudomonadati; Pseudomonadota; Gammaproteobacteria; Pasteurellales; Pasteurellaceae
Description: tRNA-Met(cat)
Rfam family: tRNA
About the family: Transfer RNA (tRNA) molecules are approximately 80 nucleotides in length. Their secondary structure includes four short double-helical elements and three loops (D, anti-codon, and T loops).
Source: RNAcentral
GCCCCCAUAGCUCAGCGGUUAGAGCAGACGACUCAUAAUCGUUUGGUCGCUGGUUCAAUCCCAGCUGGGGGCACCA